Molecule: long non-coding RNA, 611 nt
Filed under: Nicotiana benthamiana
Lineage: Eukaryota; Viridiplantae; Streptophyta; Magnoliopsida; Solanales; Solanaceae
Description: long non-coding RNA (NBEN_LNC003416)
Source: RNAcentral
CUAAAGAACGAAACGCACACAAAGAUAGAUAUAGGAACGGACAGAAAGUGAUAGAACCCUGCUGAAACGAUCCCCAUCUUCUUCAGCUCAAAACCACCAUUAAAGCUGCUCCAAACCAGCCCUAAAACACGAGCUAAAAGCUGCUCAAACCCACUGGAAAUCGCAGCAAACACAGAUGCACAACAUCACCCAAAAUAGUCCGUCGAGCACACUCCAAAAGGUCGAGGUUGCGAUUUUCAUUUUGGAGUUCGCCGUAGUCGAGUUCCCGUUGCGGUUUCAAUCUCCAAUUCAAAUUUGGGCUUAGGACCUUGUUUCAGCUUUCAGAGUGUAGGCUUCAGAAGAUUUUCUCUUAAUGUUGAAGGAAUUUUUCUGCAAUAAGUUUCUCUCAUCCCAUUUCUUAAUUGUUACAGUUUUUCCAUUAUUCUUGUUAGUAUUUAUUUGUUUAAUGAUUUGAAGCACGUUUGCUGGCAGAGUUUGAAAAGUAAAUUUGGACAAAAGGAUUUGGGGGACGUUGGAUGAGUUGGUAAUUAAGAGGGAUGAGCUAUUAUUAAUGGGACAAUCAUUUAUUGAAAAAUUAGGCCCUAUUGAAUCUUGUGAAAAUUGACUCUUAU